UCCCCAGAUGGCAAUAGUUCCCUAUACUCGUCUAAGGCUACAUAUCGUAAUUUGUACGUACAGGUAGCAUCACCAAUUCGUACACCAGCACCAGACUAAUGAUGAUUAUAUAACCUUGCCCUGAGUGGGCCCCCAUAUCAAGAUAGCGAUCGCCUAACACACCCGUACGUAUCUCUUCACGUCGAUAUCGUUGGCUUUCGCGAUAAGAAGACCUACCGUGCCAAGUGAGUGCUAUCCUCCACUUACAAGAUCCAAAACCUCAACGCACCACCGAGGUACCGACGCCCUUUAAGCAUUGUUCGAUUGUGCCGAAACCAGAAGAGGCUAGUGCUGUUGCACAUUUUUGAACCAUCCUCAUACCAGCACCAGCAUAUCGUACAUUAUUUAAAAGGUUUUAUCCUAUCUUGACAACAUCAGAUUCAAAAAGUUUAACGGCGGAACUUACUGGGAGUUGAAUAUAUCUCAGCAGGCCACUAUGGAGGAAGCCAUCACCCCAAUAUGGCGCCAACUACCUGAUAUCGUAAACGGCACUUUCGUCUAGCGCAAGCCCAGCGAUCUCAGAAUCGAACUCCGAAGAGCAGGUCUUUUUCACAACAUGGUGCAGAAUGCCAGUCCCGAUAAACGGCGUCUCUGCUCGUGCCGAUCAAGUUCAUUACAAGAGGUAUCAUAAAAUGGGAGAAUCAUAUUACAAACUUACAUACUCGUCAACAGCCUAAAAGUCAGCAUUAGUCGUUCGACUUGUUACCUCCGAUCAAACUGGACAGACCUUGCAGUCCUAUUAAUAAAUAUCUAGCUGGUAUUAACACCAUGGCAAGGUGAGCCAAUAUUUAUAUGUCGGCUUGGCGUUAAGACUAAAGUUAGGGUUAAGGGCGUGAAACAAAUCCCUAUUGACCCCAGACGUGAUCAUUAUGCAAUAGAGGAGAUAUUUACUAGUGCAAAUAUGAUUCUGAUGGAA
Molecule: long non-coding RNA, 955 nt
Organism: Bombus terrestris (buff-tailed bumblebee)
Lineage: Eukaryota; Metazoa; Arthropoda; Insecta; Hymenoptera; Apidae
Exons: 3
Source: RefSeq, a predicted model, not a curated record